RNAcentral lists this ribosomal RNA (484 nucleotides) under uncultured bacterium. RNAcentral describes it as "partial 16S ribosomal RNA". It matches the Rfam family "Bacterial small subunit ribosomal RNA", at positions 30 to 507 of the family's 1533-position model. The record is from RNAcentral.
AUUGAACGCUGGCGGCAGGCCUAACACAUGCAAGUCGAGCGGAUGAAGGGAGCUUGCUCCUGGAUUCAGCGGCGGAAGGGUGAGUAAUGCCUAGGAAUCUGCCUGGUAGUGGGGGAUAACGUCCGGAAACGGGCGCUAAUACCGCAUACGUCCUGCGGGAGCAAGUGGGGGAUCUUCGGACCUCACGCUAUCAGAUGAGCCUAGGUCGGAUUAGCUAGUUGGUGGGGUAAAGGCCUACCAAGGCGACGAUCCGUAACUGGUCUGAGAGGAUGAUCAGUCACACUGGAACUGAGACACGGUCCAGACUCCUACGGGAGGCAGCAGUGGGGAAUAUUGGACAAUGGGCGAAAGCCUGAUCCAGCCAUGCCGAGUGUGUGAAGAAGGUCUUCGGAUUGUAAAGCACUUUAAGUUGGGAGGAAGGGCAGUAAGUUAAUACCUUGCUGUUUUGACGUUACCAACAGAAUAAGCACCGGCUAACUUCGUG